AGUCGAACGAGAGAUGAGGAGCUUGCUUUUCAAAUCGAGUGGCGAACGGGUGAGUAACGCGUGAGGAACCUGCCUCAAAGAGGGGGACAACAGUUGGAAACGACUACUAAUACCGCAUAAGCCCACGGCUCGGCAUCGAGCAGGGGGAAAAGGAGUGAUCCGCUUUGAGAUGGCCUCGCGUCCGAUUAGCUAGUUGGUGAGGUAAUGGCCCACCAAGGCGACGAUCGGUAGCCGGACUGAGAGGUUGAACGGCCACAUUGGGACUGAGACACGGCCCAGACUCCUACGGGAGGCAGCAGUGGGGAAUAUUGCACAAUGGGGGAAACCCUGAUGCAGCGACGCCGCGUGGAGGAAGAAGGUCUUCGGAUUGUAAACUCCUGUUGUUGAGGAAGAUAAUGACGGUACUCAACAAGGAAGUGACGGCUAACUACGUGCCAGCAGCCGCGGUAAAACGUAGGUCACAAGCGUUGUCCGGAAUUACUGGGUGUAAAGGGAGCGCAGGCGGGAGAACAAGUUGGAAGUGAAAUCCAUGGGCUCAACCCAUGAACUGCUUUCAAAACUGUUUUUCUUGAGUAGUGCAGAGGUGGGCGGAAUUCCCGGUGUAGCGGUGGAAUGCGUAGAUAUCGGGAGGAACACCAGUGGCGAAGGCGGCCUACUGGGCACCAACUGACGCUGAGGCUCGAAAGUGUGGGUAGCAAACAGGAUUAGAUACCCUGGUAGUCCACACCGUAAACGAUGAUUACUAGGUGUUGGAGGAUUGACCCCUUCAGUGCCGCAGUUAACACAAUAAGUAAUCCACCUGGGGAGUACGACCGCAAGGUUGAAACUCAAAGGAAUUGACGGGGGCCCGCACAA
Molecule: ribosomal RNA, 855 nt
Filed under: uncultured bacterium
Lineage: Bacteria
Description: bacterial SSU rRNA
Rfam family: Bacterial small subunit ribosomal RNA
Source: RNAcentral